GACGAACGCUGGCGGCAUGCCUAAUACAUGCAAGUCGAGCGAACAGAUGAAGUGCUUGCACUUCUGACGUUAGCGGCGAACGGGUGAGUAACACGUAAGGAAUCUACCUAUAAGCGGGGGAUAACAUUCGGAAACGGGUGCUAAUACCGCAUAAUAUCUUCUUCCGCAUGGAAGAAGAUUGAAAGACGGCUCUGCUGUCACUUAUAGAUGACCUUGCGGUGCAUUAGUUAGUUGGUGGGGUAACGGCCUACCAAGACGAUGAUGCAUAGCCGACCUGAGAGGGUGAUCGGCCACAUUGGGACUGAGACACGGCCCAAACUUCUACGGGAGGCAGCAGUAGGGAAUCUUCCGCAAUGGGCGAAAGCCUGACGGAGCAAUGCCGCGUGAGUGAAGAAGGCCUUCGGGUCGUAAAACUCUGUUAUAAGAGAAGAACAAAUUGUAGAGUAACUGCUACAGUCUUGACAGUAUCUUAUCAGAAAGCCACGGCUAACUACGUGCCAGCAGCCGCCGCCG
RNAcentral lists this ribosomal RNA (513 nucleotides) under uncultured bacterium. Its description in RNAcentral is "partial 16S ribosomal RNA". It matches the Rfam family "Bacterial small subunit ribosomal RNA", at positions 28 to 523 of the family's 1533-position model. The record is from RNAcentral.